CCAACAAGGAGGUGUAUUUGAACACCUUAUUAAAUAAUCCUUUUAAUUAGAAUUAUUAUUUUGUUAAAGAGUUAUUUUUCAUUUUAUUUUAGAAUAUUGUAUUUAGUUUUCACCAAAGGUUUUUAAGAUUUGAGCAUAUUAAAGUUGUUUUUUUGACUUGCGAUUAUGAGCACGUUAAAAAACAACAUAAAUUUUUAUCUUUCGUGUGCGCGUAAAAUUCUAAUACUUGAUUCGAGGCGACCUACCCAUCUCCACGCCCUUGCUAAACAUCACUGCGAGCAAGCCGAAAUUAAAUUAACUAAUUAAGAAAUUAAAUUCACAUUGCGGCGUUGCUAUCGGUGGCAGGUUACCAAUGCAGUCGUUCUCUGUCUACUCCCUAUCUAUUAGGUCUAAUACAUUAAAACUCAAUCCGUAAGAUUCAACUCGCCAAACGUGUAUAGGUGCUUGUGAUCGGGCUUGGGCGGCUGUCGAAGAACGACACGAGUCCAUGGUAGCGAGGAAGAAGAAGAAGGUGCUUGUGAUUUAAUUGUUAUUUUACCAACGAUGGCAUUUGACAUUUGUUUUGUUGUUGUUCCUGAUAGAGUUGUUCAUAGUGGCAUCGAUAUUAUUAUUGUCCUUGAUGUUAUUCUUCAGCCCUAUAUAUGUGUUAAAAAGGGUGUGGAUGGAAUUGAACUAUAUUAUCAGCGACCAGACUCUUCUAUAGUUAAACUUUUAGUAGUUUCAAUACGAUACAAAUACAGCAACUUGGAUUGGACCAUACUUUAAAGUUGCAUUUAGAAACCUUGCUAAAUACUUCUAGAGACAUAACUCCCAACCAUAUCACUACGAUCAUGUUCCUGUGGUCUAUAGUCCUCGUCGCUUGGCUUACCAAGUACGCGCUCAAGUCGCCGACAGAGUGAAUGAGCUUUUAAGGGAUGGAAUCGUCCGCGAAAGUCACUUCAAAAAAGUUUUACAAAAAAAUACGUUGGCUUGGUUAGAAGAAGACCAAGCCGCUGUAAUAUUAAGUGGUUUAAGAAUAUUACUUUUCCAUUUUCUAAGAAUGAAGAAAAAGGCAAUUUUAAGUAGAUCACUUAUCCAUUCAUAACUAUGUUGUUGUUGGUUAUAUGAUUAGUUCGAUGUAUCGAAUUUGUAUUUUUUUAAUUUCUUAAUAAAUCUCUUUAUCGUAAAAUCCGAAAGUUUUUCAGGAAAUCUGUUUUUUACAAGGGUAGAUUUAAUUAAAUCAAGAUUAUCUUUAAUAAAACAAUCAUAGAAAUUAAGACUGCUCUAUCCACAAAAUUACUGAUAGCAGUAAUUUUAUAUCGAUCAGGGUGAUAAGAUAUACAGUUUAAAUACUUAUCCGACCGAAGUGGGUUUUCUAAACCAUUUCGUUUAUAUUUUCCUUAAGUAAAAUGACGGGUGGUAUUUUCAAAAUGAAUACACUCUGCUUGUGGUAAAUUUUCUCUAAUUUAAUUUAUUUUAAGUCAAUAGAUGUAUUAGUAAAGAGAGAAACCAUAUCUAGAGAAAUUAACGGAAAGUCUGAAUAGUCUUUUUUUUAAGUUUAGUUCUUUUCUUUAAGUUCAAAGAAAUUUUUUAUUGUAUAUGGUGAGUUAAGCAUAAGGGGAAAAUAGGCAUAGAAAAAUAGGCUGCUACAACUUGUAACUUAUAUGUGGGACAGUUACUUGUAGAAACCACAGGUCGUAGAGGCAUAUCAUGCUUAUGAACCUUAAUGAGCCCUAGAUUUUAGUCAUGAAUGAAUUUUUUUCUAAUAAACCCUUAACUAGUAGGAAUAUUAGACAUAUAGUAUUAGAACAUUACCUUUAUCGGCCCUCGUUUCUUCUCUAAACGCAGGUUUUGCGUAUUUGAUUUAGCUAAAUAUUAAAUCGGCCGACCUAUAAAACUUGUCUAAGGACGCUUAUAUGGGUUUCUUCAUGCCGAAUAUCAGCAUAAAGUAUGGGAUUAAAUUUAUUUUCUGUGUAAAACAUAAGUGAAAUUUAAUAAGAUUAUUUACCAUAAACGCAUAGUAUAAUAUUUGCCUUGGUUUAUCUCUAUAUCAUAUCUCCCGCAUAUUGGAUCAGGUUCUCAUCAUUACAGUAUCUUACAAUUAGUAGUUGUUAGUGUAAUACAAUGUAUCUGAGUGAACACGAAAUUCGUGGAGGCAAGGUUUCGUGGAAAUCCACUUUUCAGAGUGAAUUUCAACAUCAGAUUAAAAAUGUGAUAUUAUUUGACAUAAUAAAGACCAGAAUUCAUCAACCAUACAUUCAAACAAAGGGUCAAUACCACUUGGCUAAUAGGGUUCGAUGAAAGGUAAACGAUGUGUUGGACACAAAAAAUAAAAAUUACUAUUUAAUAUUACUGAAAAUCACUUCCGGUUUAAAAUUAAAUAUGUCGUUCACACAAACCAAAAUGGGGCAUUUCUUGACUCUAGUGAUAUGCAACAAGGUUAUAUCCUCAGUGCAAAAAGAGUGGUCGGAAGUGAGAAGACGGUUUGCGAAAGCUAACUUCGUUUCAACUAUAUCUGAGUUUUUAAAUUUGUCUACUAAACAGAGAUGUUCCCGAACCCAAGUUCCAACCCUCCUUCCGGAUUUGCCUACGGUGUUAUCAGGAUCUACUAGCAAAAAUUACGCGGGUUAUAUAAUGAGUAUUAAAUAUUAUUGUAAUAUAAUAAUUAUUAGCUUUACAUCCAGCAUAAUUAUUUAUUGCGCUGAGUUGUUCCGUAAAACUUCCGAGUUGUUGUCGGAACUUAAAAUGUUUAAAGAGGACAAAAAACUUUUACUAACGUAGUUGUAAGUUUUUCUGGUACUUAAUGGCAUAUAGUGAAACCAAAUUGAAAAGGUAUUCGGGUUAAUUCUUUCUGACUUCAUUAAAAUCAUUAGUCACCUUUUCUUUUCAAUGCGGUUAUAACAUUUGUACAAUAAAACUAAGUUUAAUUAUAUAUGUAUAUUAUAUUUCUAAAAUGUAUAAAGUAUAAAAGCAUCUAUGAACCAAACAUGUUAAGAUUUAGUUCUUUUAAUAUUUAUCUACUUAACUAAUUGUGGGUUUCUAAAUAUAGCAAAUGAAUAAAUAGGUUAAAUUAAAAUUUGAUAUUCUACCAUCUUAACAUAGAAGAUUCUUGGUUAUUAUACUUAUUUGGGCUAAAAUAAUAAGAAUAUACAUUGACAGUAAUUAAUUUUAAAUUAGAGAAUAAGCACAUUUUACCUUGUAUUUAAAAUCGUGAUUGCCUGUGGAUUUACUAGUGGCUGUAGCUUUUCCGUAAACCUCUUGUAAUUUCGAUCUAGUUCUCUUUGGUAAUCCCUUUGAUCUGGCCCUAUCAAAUUUUUGUUUUUCUUUAGGGCAUCCGCACAUCUAAAGAAUAUUAGAAUCAUUAAAAUAAAUAAAUCAAAAAUAAAUGUUCUUACUUCUUCGAAAAAUCCUUAAAACACAGUCGAAGUUUGUUUUGAUGUUUUGUUAAAGCCUUUCCGCCACUAGGCAAAAAUGUCAAAGCCAUUUCCAGGGGCCCUUGAUUGACGGUAGUUCCAAUGCAGCCUUGCAAAACCAUUUGAAGAAUUUUUGGAUCCGGCGGUUCCUGUUGAGUUGCGAUAGCAAGCUCUGUUGUUUUCUUUUGAAUGUCCUCAAUGGCAACCUUCAGACAAUUUUUAAUUUCAAAUGAAUAUUAAAAGCAAGAAACUAUUUAUAAACAAAAUUUAAAAUAUCGGGUUUUAUAUUGCCAUUAAUAAUAGCGAUUCUGUAUGUUCCGUAUUCGUCAUCCGAUUCAUGCGCAUCUUCAAAUAAUCGAAAUAGCUAACACUAUAAUAUUCAAAAUAAUUAUUAGGAGAAAGAUGGCAUUUAAAAGUGAGUAGAAGCGUACUAGAUAACACCACGAAAUUUAAGCUUUCCAAUAAUAUUUAAAGAGCAAGUUUGUGUGCGCAGCGAGGUCUUUUUAACCGGGUUGAAGAAGAAAUUGAGCCAUGGCGUCCAAACCAACCACAAGUGUGAAGGAACUGAGUUUAAUAUUGGUCUGAGCAUGCUCCGGGAAUAGUUUUCGCAAUUUAAAAAAGCUGAAAUCUCAAAGGUGGGAAGCAGGAGGAUCAAUGCAUCUCUGCAAAGUCUAACUUUGGACAUUAAUAACCUAAAGGUCAACGCAAAACGACAAGAAAAUAAGCUGGGAAUAUUCAGCUUAAAUACAAUGCAGACUGCCUUAUUAUUCACGGGAUGCAGGAAGGCAACAAAGAUCUCGAAUCGGCUGUACAAAUAUUUAGCGACUGGAUAAAAAUUGACCUAAAUAAAAACUAGAUAUCUCACUGCGAGUAUAUGGGUAAAAAAACAUCUGCCUCGCAGAAACCCAGACCAGUUAUGGUUCGGUUUUUACAUAGGUGGUUGAGAAACCAAAGUUGUGUUUACAAAGAAAAAGCUUUUGAUGGGCUCAGGUUUUGUUGUGAAAGAGGUUCUUAUACCAGAGAUCCUUAAAGUGUGCGUGCUAAUCUUAUGGAAAAUCGAUGUAAUCAUACAAUGCUUUAAUUAAAAAAAAACACCCUUAAUAACUUAAAAAAAAACGCUAAUCUAGAUAUACAGGAGGACAUUUAAUUUUAUACUUGACGAAGUUCUGUCAAUCACCUCCUUAUAUCCAACUAACCUCAUUUUGAUAUAUUAAGAGAGAACCCACCAUUGGCAAGUCCGCUGAUAUCUCUACAUUCGCGAGUAAUUAGAUCCGUUAAAUCACUAAAUUUUCAGGUGUUUUAUAAACUUUGCUUUUUAAAUACCUCCGAAGGAAAAAAUGGAGUUGUGGCCAUUCUAUUGCACCACCUGCUAAUCCACAUCGACGAUUGAAGAAUAUAUUGUAUUUUCGAGGAGAAUUUUUUGGAGUAUUUGGACUCAAUGAACUGUUUACUACCAUACAAUUCUAUUGUUUCCAGUAAAACUGUCGCCAAAUCACUAAGAAUGAGCCCAGUCAAGUAAUGAUGUUGUCGGUAUUCAGGAGAUAGCUCAGCAAAACAAUUGACACGUUCUUGGCUUGGUGGCGGCCCGGACAGGAACGAAUUUUGACUAGUAGAACUAGUUACACUAGGACUGGGAGAUACACUAGCUCCUGAUGGCAUAAAUGGCGUUGAAAAAGAUCCGACUUCUCCUAAUCUUGAAGGAAUUGUUCCAGUAUAAAUACAAUCAUAGGCAGCAAAAAAUCUUUCUAUUGCGGGAUCAUGGGUAUGGACUGAUGAAGCAGUAUCUAAAAUAACCGUAAAUAACCCUUUGUGACCA
This 5208-nucleotide long non-coding RNA is filed under the name Anthonomus grandis grandis. RNAcentral describes it as "uncharacterized LOC126748236". Lineage: Eukaryota; Metazoa; Arthropoda; Insecta; Coleoptera; Curculionidae. The record is from RNAcentral.